UGGGGAAUUUUGCACAAUGGGCGGAAGCCUGAUGCAGCGACGCCGUGUGGGGGAUGAAGGCCUUCGGGUUGUAAACUCCUUUCGUCAGGGACGAAGUUUGUUUGACGGUACCUGGAUAAGAAGCACCGGCUAACUACGUGCCAGCAGCCGCGGUAAUACGUAGGGUGCGAGCGUUGUCCGGAUUUACUGGGCGUAAAGGGCUCGUAGGUGGUGUGUUGCGUCGUCUGUGUAAUCCAGGGGCUUAACUUUUGGUUGGCAGGCGAUACGGGCAUUGCUUGAGUGCUGUAGGGGAGACUGGAAUUCCUGGUGUAGCGGCGAAAUGCGCAGAUAUCAGGAGGAACACCGAUGGCGAAGGCAGGUCUCUGGGCAGUUACUGACGCUGAGGAGCGAGAGCAUGGGUAGCGAACAGG
This 410-nucleotide ribosomal RNA is filed under the name bacterium. Its description in RNAcentral is "partial 16S ribosomal RNA". It matches the Rfam family "Bacterial small subunit ribosomal RNA", at positions 355 to 776 of the family's 1533-position model. The record is from RNAcentral.